This is an unclassified non-coding RNA of Pongo abelii (Sumatran orangutan), 148 nucleotides long. It matches the Rfam family "Metazoan signal recognition particle RNA". From Rfam's summary of the family: The signal recognition particle (SRP) is a universally conserved ribonucleoprotein. It is involved in the co-translational targeting of proteins to membranes. The record is from Ensembl. Lineage: Eukaryota; Metazoa; Chordata; Mammalia; Primates; Hominidae.
GCGGGGCGCGGUGGCGCAUGCCUGUAGUCCCAGCUACUCGGGAAGCUGAGGUAGAAGGAUCACUUAAGCCCAGGAGUUUGAGGUUGCUGUGAGCCAUGAUUGCAGCACUGCACUCCAACCUGGGCAACAGAGUGAGACUCCACCUCUA